GUGCUCACGUUGGCAGCACACUAAAAUUGGAACAAUGCAAAGAUUAGCUUGGCUCCUGUGCAAGGAUGACACUCAAAUCUGUGAAGUAGUCCAUAUUUUU
Molecule: small nuclear RNA, 100 nt
Filed under: Microtus ochrogaster (prairie vole)
Lineage: Eukaryota; Metazoa; Chordata; Mammalia; Rodentia; Cricetidae
Source: RNAcentral